This 157-nucleotide small RNA is filed under the name Streptomyces pristinaespiralis. RNAcentral describes it as "c-di-AMP sequence". It matches the Rfam family "c-di-AMP riboswitch aptamer (ydaO/yuaA leader)". From Rfam's summary of the family: This family represents a conserved RNA structure found upstream of the ydaO and yuaA genes in Bacillus subtilis and related genes in other bacteria. RNAcentral also lists the same sequence under 1 other name. The record is from RNAcentral. Lineage: Bacteria; Bacillati; Actinomycetota; Actinomycetes; Kitasatosporales; Streptomycetaceae.
CGUGCGCACGUGCCGAAUCCCGUAAGGGAACCGGGGAACCACCAAUUGGGGUGAAUCGGUCACCCUUCGCCGCUCAGUCCGCGGUCGAGGGCGCCCGUAGGAGACCUUCCUGCUCCGAACCCGUCAGCUAACCCGGUAGGCGAGAAGGAAGGAAAGG